Hipposideros armiger (great roundleaf bat) is the source of this 630-nucleotide long non-coding RNA. RefSeq lists it as uncharacterized. The record is from RefSeq and is a predicted model, not a curated record. NCBI's taxonomy places the organism in Eukaryota, Metazoa, Chordata, Mammalia, Chiroptera, Hipposideridae. The transcript has 2 exons.
UUAGAUGUUGAAGACAGACGGCCUGACCCUCCGGUUCCCUUUCCCAUCGGAUCUGAACACCGGUCUUGGUGGUCGUAAAAGGAGGAAAAGUAAUAAUUGAAGCUGGCCUCACAGUGCUUGUGGUCUGCUCUAUGGCAUGGGGGCUAGUUUCAGACAGGGCAGAAUUCUCUUUGAACUUGUUUUAAAAUGGGAUAAUCUUAGGCUUAAAAGGAGGACACAUGUGAAGCUCUGGGCAAUUUGUAGUGAUUGCUGGCUAAUGUUUUUAUAUUUAUAUGGGAGGGAUUCAUCAAUGGCUUUCUUGCCUCUUGCUUGAGAGUGUCCUCUUUUUGUAGAUUUGUUACCAGUAAGCUGUCUUCAUGUGAUUAUGGAUGUACAGAAUUGGGAGAGAAGCUCUGGGAAGAGGCAAACUAAAAGACUUGGAGGAGACAACCAGAACAGAAAAUCCCCUCAAACCCCUCCCCUAUUCCCCUCCACCUGCUGGUUCUUGAACAGGCCUUUGCCCCACCCUGAGCAAGUAUGCAAGGCAUUUUCCCCAAGUGUCAGGUCCCCUAUCAGUCCCCCGUCCUUCCGACCCUGCAGCAUGGAUGGUUUUGUGCUACAUUCUCUUAAUAAACUCUUGAUGUAAUGUAA